Molecule: ribosomal RNA, 594 nt
Filed under: Triticum aestivum (bread wheat)
Lineage: Eukaryota; Viridiplantae; Streptophyta; Magnoliopsida; Poales; Poaceae
Description: partial small subunit ribosomal RNA
Source: RNAcentral
AUGCCUUCCUGGAACGACGAGGAAACCAGCUCGGAGGAGGAGUGCGAGGUCGUCAGCAUGGACAUGGGACUUAUGGAGGAACCAGACACCACUGUGGAGCCCCUUUUCUGUGGCCAACUUGAGCUUGCUCAUCCCAAGUGCAUUCUGCACCAACUGAGGCCUAUUAAGCGUGUUGCUUUUGAAGGGCCUGUAACAGGAAGGCGUUUCUAUGGCUGCCCAGUCCAGGAAAAUGGUGUGAAUUGUGUAGUUGUAGAGUGGGUUGAUGGGCCUUGGCCUCCUGUUCUUCAGAGAUGCUUGUGCAAGCUAUGGGAAAUGUUCCAUGAGCAGAACCUAGGAAGGGUACUUGACAAGGAGAAGUUUGAGAAGGAGUUGGCCAAGCUUAAGAGUGAACAUGAAAGGGAGUUGGCCAAGCUUAGGACUGAAAAUGACAAGCUUUGCAUUGAGUACACCAAGCUUGUUGAUGAUGUAUCCAAGAUGUUUGAUUGGCAGGAUGGUAGGGUGGACAAGAAGGUGUACCAGAAACAAGUGGAGGAAGAAGAACUUGAGAAGAAGAAGAAGAAGGAGCUAGAGGAGAAAGCUAUGUUGGAGGUGUAG